UCAGGUUGAUGGUCAACUGGUACAUUAACUAAAAUGGUUGUUUGAUGAUGCUCAUUGGCUAGACCUAUAAGUGCAACAUGUUCCUCAUUGCUACUAGCAGAUCUACAGCUGGAGUUUCAAUAAUACUGUAUGGAGCAUCACCUUCAACCUGUUCCUCAACAUCUGAUCAUGUGCCUGAGAGGUCAAUAGUACUCUCAUCAUCA
Molecule: long non-coding RNA, 203 nt
Filed under: Solanum tuberosum (potato)
Lineage: Eukaryota; Viridiplantae; Streptophyta; Magnoliopsida; Solanales; Solanaceae
Description: long non-coding RNA (STUB_LNC009828)
Source: RNAcentral